UUUUCUUCUGUCCAGAGUGCCAGGUAUGGAUUGGACAGAGGUGCCUUUGGCCUGAUGAAAAGCCCUUUAAGUUUGUACUUAGAUGACAACCAAAAUAAACUUAAAAACUUUGAACUUGUGCCUGAACAGUAGAUAGUCACUAUUUUAUUAGCUAACAUACUGACUAGUCUAUAGUGGAUCUGACUGCCCGAUGCUGUCAAGCUGACAACCAGUAAUAUUUCAGAGAUCUGAGAAGGGUAUAUUUUAUCCGAAUCUACUGAAAAGUGACAGAAGCCAGUCUAUAUACAGUUAGCCAAACCCAAGUUUCUCCAUUACCGUUGGAGGCAGCUGUCUCAAAGACCAGCAAUCUUCGCCAGGCCUAUACUGUGAGAGUUUUUUUCCUCUCUGUGGAAGAGGGACAUGGAAAAGACUGACCUUGUUUUGUCUAGGCAAAGGGGUGCAAUCAAUUUUCCAGUGUCCAGCAGCUUUGUCCACAGUCUCGGCCAGGAUCUGGCAGUCUGUCUGACAUUAUAAACUUUAAAGAUAACAAUUUAAAUGCCAUAUUCUGAAGAUCUCUGAAGCAUUAGAGGUCUGUUUGUCUGUUUUAGUUACUUGCCUUAAGCACACAUUAAGCAUACAGGUGGCUAGGUAAGGUCUUAUUUCUGUAAAUGAUUUAGUCUGACUGUAACUGGUUUUAACUUAGUAAAAUGUUUGAAACAGCACAGCUGAACUUAAAACUGUAUAGAGCUACCUUAUAUUUCUUAAACAGUAGCUUAACUUAUUUCUGAGGCAGGGUUUUUCUGUGACUUUGGAGCCUGUCCUGGAAUUCGAUCUGCCGGACCAGGCAGGCCUUGAACUCAUAAAGAUCCAUCUGCCUCUUACUCCCGAGUGCUGGGAUUAAAGGCGUAUGCCACCAACGCCCUCAACUUAAAGGCAUGUGCCAUCAACACCCUGAGCUUAAAGGUGUGUGUCACCAACAUUUUAAACUUAACUUCUGAAAACACAAACUGUAACAGAUUAGCAUCUUUUAUAAAACAAGAACUUUACAUUGUCAGGCUUUGCUUAGAAAUAAUUCUAAAUUGAAGCUCUUUAAGUACAAACAUUAAUAAAAACAAACAUUUGAAAACUGGUUUUAAAAAGAAAUUUAAAUUCCCUUAAGGUCUUUCUGUAAUAUAUAGAAGCAUUAACAUUUUAAAUCUUAACUGAAAACUUGUUUCUAAGAUGGUACCUCUAAUUUCCAUGUGGUCACCUUUAGUCAAGAUGGCGGUUUAAGUAUUCUUUUUUAACUUUAGCAAAAUGGCGACCAGUCAAGUCAUGUGACCAGUUACAAAAUGGCCGUAACUUGCUUUGCUUAACAUGCUUAAGCUUAUACCAGGAAAUAGAACAAUUUUAAAAC
This 1375-nucleotide long non-coding RNA is filed under the name Cricetulus griseus (Chinese hamster). Its description in RNAcentral is "lncRNA (ENSCGRG00015041547.1)". The record is from RNAcentral. Lineage: Eukaryota; Metazoa; Chordata; Mammalia; Rodentia; Cricetidae.